Triticum aestivum (bread wheat) is the source of this 115-nucleotide non-coding RNA. Lineage: Eukaryota; Viridiplantae; Streptophyta; Magnoliopsida; Poales; Poaceae. The record is from Rfam.
CUAGUACUCCCUUCGUUCCAAAUUACUCGUCACAGAAAUGGAUGUAUUUAGAACUAAAAUACAUCUAGAUACAUUUAUUUUUGCAACGAGUAAUUCGGAACGGAGGGAGUACUUG